AUGAACGCUGGCGGCGUGCCUAAUACAUGCAAGUCGAGCGAACGGACGAGAAGCUUGCUUCUCUGAUGUUAGCGGCGGACGGGUGAGUAACACGUGGAUAACCUACCUAUAAGACUGGGAUAACUUCGGGAAACCGUAGCUAAUACCGGAUAAUAUUUUGAACCGCAUGGUUCAAAAGUGAAAGACGGUCUUGCUGUCACUUAUAGAUGGAUCCGCGCUGCAUUAGCUAGUUGGUAAGGUAACGGCUUACCAAGGCAACGAUGCAUAGCCAACCUGAGAGGGUGAUCGGCCACACUGGAACUGAGACACGGUCCAGACUCCUACGGGAGGCAGCAGUAGGGAAUCUUCCGAAAUGGGCGAAAGCCUGACGGAGCAACGCCGCGUGAGUGAUGAAGGUCUUCGGAUCGUAAAACUCUGUUAUUAGGGAAGAACAUAUGUGUAAGUAACUGUGCACAUCUUGACGGUACCUAAUCAGAAAGCCACGGCUAACUACGUG
This 496-nucleotide ribosomal RNA is filed under the name uncultured bacterium. Its description in RNAcentral is "partial 16S ribosomal RNA". It matches the Rfam family "Bacterial small subunit ribosomal RNA", at positions 29 to 507 of the family's 1533-position model. The record is from RNAcentral.